ACGCCCGUAGCUCAGCUGGAUAGAGCAGCGGUUUCCUAAACCGCAGGUCGGAGGUUCGAGUCCUCUCGGGCGUACCA
Molecule: transfer RNA, 77 nt
Filed under: Candidatus Fraserbacteria bacterium
Lineage: Bacteria; Candidatus Fraseribacteriota
Also listed under: 1 other name
Description: tRNA-Arg
Rfam family: tRNA
About the family: Transfer RNA (tRNA) molecules are approximately 80 nucleotides in length. Their secondary structure includes four short double-helical elements and three loops (D, anti-codon, and T loops).
Source: RNAcentral